RNAcentral lists this non-coding RNA (217 nucleotides) under Bacillus gaemokensis. RNAcentral describes it as "T-box sequence". It matches the Rfam family "T-box leader". Rfam says of the family: Uncharged tRNA acts as the effector for transcription antitermination of genes in the T-box leader family. T-boxes are found upstream of many aminoacyl-tRNA synthetase genes and some amino acid biosynthetic genes usually in Gram-positive bacteria. Lineage: Bacteria; Bacillati; Bacillota; Bacilli; Caryophanales; Bacillaceae. The record is from RNAcentral.
UGAUAAGCGAUGAUAGGAAUCAGUAGCAACUUAUCUCCCUGUAACAGAGAGCUGAUGUAUGGUGUGAAUUAGUACAAAGAUAAGUGCGAAUUACCUCCUUGAGCUUUCUUUGUGAAAUAGGUCAGUAGCAAAGAACGGGCAACCGUUAUGUGUAUGAGCGGAAGAAUUAAAUUCUUCAACAAGGGUGGUACCGCGUGCAGUUAACCACGUCCCUUUU